RNAcentral lists this signal recognition particle RNA (149 nucleotides) under Pan troglodytes (chimpanzee). RNAcentral describes it as "Metazoan signal recognition particle RNA". It matches the Rfam family "Metazoan signal recognition particle RNA". Rfam says of the family: The signal recognition particle (SRP) is a universally conserved ribonucleoprotein. The record is from Rfam by way of RNAcentral. Lineage: Eukaryota; Metazoa; Chordata; Mammalia; Primates; Hominidae.
GCCAGGUGUGGUGGCCUGCACCUGUAGUCCCAGCUACUUGGGAGGCUGAGACGGGAGGAUGGCUUGAGCCCAGGAGGUGGAGGUUGCAGUGAGCCAAGGUCAUGCCACUGCACUUCCAGCCUGGGCAACAAAGCCAGACUCCGUCUCAA